AUAUUUUCAUCAUUCCUAUUGCUGCAUCUUUAAAAAUAAAACAAAAUAUUAAUUUUUUACCAAUUUUUAACCAUGAUAUUUUAAAUUUUAUUUUUAACCAUGCAAGCAACAGUCAUGAGGAUUAUAUCAAAAACAAAGUUCAUACAUGUGAUGAAGAGAAGACGGAUCAAGUGAAAAAAAUUAAGCCAAAAAAGGGAGAUUUAUUAGGGGUUUUGCCCUAAUUUUUUUACUAUAUUUAAGUUUUACUUUUUCUAAGAAGGAAAAUAAAAGUUACCAUAAUUAUUUUUACUUUUCCUGAAAGAAAAAAUAUAAUUCUUUUUCAUAUUUGGCUAACCUCUUUCUUGAAGAAAAGAUUUUGGACAUCUAUAAAUAGAAGACCCCCUUCUCAUACCACAACACAAUAGCAUCC
RNAcentral lists this long non-coding RNA (409 nucleotides) under Capsicum annuum. Its description in RNAcentral is "long non-coding RNA (CANN_LNC012758)". Lineage: Eukaryota; Viridiplantae; Streptophyta; Magnoliopsida; Solanales; Solanaceae. The record is from RNAcentral.